AUCUACGAAGUCUGUUGUCAGUGAAACUGCACACGGCCCGCAUUCAAGUAUAAAGGAAAGUGUGGAUUUGGGUACACCUGUGAGAAAUGAGACCUCAAAGUUGUGUAAUGCUACGCCUUCUGUUCAUUUCAACCCCGGAUUAUCUUCAACUCCUGGAUUAUCACAUAAUUGCUAUUUGCCCCAAAUUAUAGCAGAGAGGGACUCAUUACACAAGGAGUCUUUUGACUGCAUGUCUGGAAUAGAAGUGUUGGAAUCAUCGGAUUUGGGAUCAAAUGUUGACACCUUUACUAAUGAAGGUGUAUAGAAACCCUACCUGGGCAGUAGUUUUGUGGAUCCAUUUUCAAUCACAAUUGAUGCAUCUGAAAUUUGUAAUCAAGAUGAAGAUUCAUCAGAUGAAGAUUAUCAACCCAGCAUUACAAUUAAUUUGAGGUAAAAGUCCUAUAAUGUAAUUCACUUUUUCCACAUAACUCAA
Molecule: long non-coding RNA, 472 nt
Organism: Saccostrea cuccullata (small rock oyster)
Lineage: Eukaryota; Metazoa; Mollusca; Bivalvia; Ostreida; Ostreidae
Exons: 3
Source: RefSeq, a predicted model, not a curated record